AUGCUCUGCCUCCGCCUCCGUUGCCGUGCCCUCUCCCAGCUCCUCUCGUCCCCCUCCUCCUCUCCUAUCUCCCAGCUCCGCCGCCUCCUCUCUGCCGCCGCGCCUGUCGUCUCCCCAAACCCUAGCUUCGCCGUCGAGGAUUACCUCGUCUCCACCUGCGGCCUCACCCGAGCGCAGGCCCUCAAGGCGUCCGCGAAGCUCUCCCACCUCAAGUCCCCCUCCAAGCCUGACGCCGUCCUCGCCUUCCUCGCCGGCCUCGGCCUCCCCGGCGCCGACGUGGCCGCCCUCGUCGCCAGGGAUCCCAAGUUCCUCUGCGCCGGCGUGGAGGCAAUACUGGCCCCCAACGUCGUCGGGCUCACCGGCCUCGGUCUCUCGCGUUCUGACAUCGCGCGCCUCGUCUCGGUUGCCGGCAAUCACUUCCGCUGUAGAUCCAUGGUCACCAAUCUGCAGUACUGCUUGUGCCUCCUCGGGUCCUACGAGAAUCUCCUCUCUGCUAUCAAGCGCAAAUCCUACAUUCUCUCGUCCAACGUCGAGAGGGUUAUCAAGCCCAACGUCGCGGUCCUGCGAGAGUUUGGGCUUGGUCCUUGUGAUAUUGCCAAGCUGUGCCAUGCUCAGCCAUGGCUCCUCACCUGCAACCCAGAGCGUGUGCGGGCGAUGGCAGUGUGCGUCGAAGGUCUGGGUGUACCCCGUAGAUCUGGGAUGUUCAGGCAUGCGCUGAAUGCUGUUACAUUUAUCAGCGAAGAGAAGAUCGCCGCCAAAUUGGAGCACUUGAAGAAAACGUUCAGGUGGUCGGAUGCUGAGCUGCGCAUUGCUAUUUCUAAGGCUCCAAUGGUGCUGAAUAGGGCUAACGAGUUUCUGCAGAGAAAGUCAGAGUUCCUGAUCUCUGAUUUGGGGUUGGAGCCGGCAUACAUUGCUCAUCGCCCGGUAAUGCUUUUGUACAGCCUGGAGGGCCGGUUAAGGCCCCGGUGCUACGCUGUGAAGUUUCUUAAGGCAAAUGGAUUGCUAGGUCCUGAUCGAGACUUGUAUUCCGCAGUCGCAUUGAGUGAGAAGUUAUUCAUAGAGAAGUACAUAUGCCCUCACAAGGAAGCUGCACCCUGCUUAGCUGAAGACUAUGCUGAUGCUUGCAAAGGGCUAGUGCCAACUAAUUUCAGAAUUACAUGA
RNAcentral lists this ribosomal RNA (1161 nucleotides) under Triticum aestivum (bread wheat). RNAcentral describes it as "partial small subunit ribosomal RNA". Lineage: Eukaryota; Viridiplantae; Streptophyta; Magnoliopsida; Poales; Poaceae. The record is from RNAcentral.